UAUCUCUGUAGAGUCUGCAUAUCAAUAAGCGGAGGAAAAGAAACUAACUAGGAUUCCCUCAGUAACGGCGAGUGAAGCGGGAAGAGCUCAAAUUUGAAAUCUUCAAGGUUUUACCUUGACGAAUUGUAGUUUAAAGAAGUGUUUUCUGUUGGUGUUUUGGUAAAAGUUCUUUGGAAUAGGACAUCAUAGAGGGUGAGAAUCCCGUAUUUGACCAUUACUUUCCAGCGUUGUGAUACACUUUCAAAGAGUCGGAUUGUUUGGGAAUGCAGUCCAAAAUGGGUGGUAAAUUUCAUCUAAAGCUAAAUACUGGCGAGAGACCGAUAGCGAACAAGUACCGUGAGGGAAAGAUGAAAAGAACUUUGAAAAGAGAGUUAAACAGUACGUGAAAUUGUCAAAAGGGAAGCGUUUGACACCAGUGUUGUUUUCUCGAAAAUCAAUUAAAAAGGACUGGAUUUUGUAUUGUAAUUGACCUUUAUCAGCUUUACUGCUACUCUUUUCCUUGCUCUUUUUAAUGCACUUUUCGUUUAACAAGUCAACAUCAAUUUCUUUUGUUGUAAAAGAGUCAUUGGAAGGUGGCUUUCACUUUCGGAUGAAAGUGUCUAUAGCCUUUGGCCUCUGCAAUCGGAGAGAUUGAGGUCUGCAGCGUAGAUCCUUCGGGGUUAGAUACAUUUGUGCUAAGUCAUAGCCUUUCAUAGACAACUUGUUGACUAUGAUCAGUCAUGUAGCUUACUCGCUUAUGCUAUUUUACCUACGCUUAGGAUGUUGAGUCAUCACACAUCUCU
This 782-nucleotide ribosomal RNA is filed under the name uncultured Neocallimastigales. RNAcentral's name for it is "partial large subunit ribosomal RNA". It matches the Rfam family "Eukaryotic large subunit ribosomal RNA", at positions 24 to 614 of the family's 3401-position model. The record is from RNAcentral. Lineage: Eukaryota; Fungi; Neocallimastigomycota; Neocallimastigomycetes; Neocallimastigales.